This 300-nucleotide ribosomal RNA is filed under the name uncultured bacterium. RNAcentral describes it as "bacterial SSU rRNA". It matches the Rfam family "Bacterial small subunit ribosomal RNA", at positions 28 to 307 of the family's 1533-position model. The record is from RNAcentral.
GAUGAACGCUGGCGGCGUGCUUAACACAUGCAAGUCGAGCGAAGCGCUCUGUCCGGAUUCUUUCGGGAUGACGGACUUAGUGACUGAGCGGCGGACGGGUGAGUAACGCGUGGGUAACCUGCCCACUACAGGGGGAGUAACAGUUAGAAAUGACUGCUAAUACCGCAUAAGACCACAGUACCGCAUGGUACAGGGUAAAAACUACCGGUGGUAUGAGAUGGACCCGCGUCUGAUUAGCUGGUUGGUGGGGUAACGGCCUACCAAGGCGACGAUCAGUAGCCGGCCUGAGAGGGCGACCGG